This is a long non-coding RNA of Cicer arietinum (chickpea), 638 nucleotides long. RefSeq lists it as uncharacterized. NCBI's taxonomy places the organism in Eukaryota, Viridiplantae, Streptophyta, Magnoliopsida, Fabales, Fabaceae. The record is from RefSeq and is a predicted model, not a curated record.
GUUUACACACGCCAUCAUAAAACGCGUGUCGACAAGCACGACGAUUAGCCACGUCCGCCGGAAGCAUGAGAAUAACGGAGAGACCCAAAACGACGACGAAUUUGGGGAAGUAAGUUUGCUUAACGUCAUCGGGAUGUUGGUAGUUCACAAGAAGGUAGACAUUGAAGAGGAACACGAUCGCUACGAUUACUAGAGGAAUUGAUUAUCCGAGUGUUUUCUUUUCAUCAGCUGAAUGCUAAUUUACUCUAGCCAGGAACUUUUGCAUUUGCCGAAUGGUUAGUUCAACACAAAUCAUGCAUUGAAGGACGGGGUACCAUUAAGUUGGGGAGGUGCUUUGGCCAUAUUUCUUCGAAAAUUAUAUAAUUAUAUAGUCUCGAUAUUACAACUUCAGACUAUGAUGAUCAAGUAAUACAGGAGAUUAUAGCUCACAACUGUCGCACAAAUGAUUUACCUGUCAUUCCUCAUAUAAAACGUUUUGGAUGAGCUAAAUUUCUCUUCAUUUGUCUCUCCGAUUGCAGAAGGUUGUAUUUUUGCUAUUGUUUUAAACUCAAAAGUUUUGUCUAAUUCUUUUUGUAUUAUAACAAUAACAAGAACACAAUAAGAAUUUUUUUCAUUUAAUUAAUUAAUUAAUUAAUUCA